GGCUUAGUAGUGUAGUGGUUAUCACACCAGAUUCUGACCAGUUUCACUUGUGAAUUCUGGUAACCCAGGUUCGAAUCCUGGCUAGGCCU
This is a transfer RNA of Pleurotus ostreatus PC15, 89 nucleotides long. It matches the Rfam family "tRNA". Rfam says of the family: Transfer RNA (tRNA) molecules are approximately 80 nucleotides in length. Their secondary structure includes four short double-helical elements and three loops (D, anti-codon, and T loops). Further hydrogen bonds mediate the characteristic L-shaped molecular structure. tRNAs have two regions of fundamental functional importance: the anti-codon, which is responsible for specific mRNA codon recognition, and the 3' end, to which the tRNAs corresponding amino acid is attached (by aminoacyl-tRNA synthetases). tRNAs cope with the degeneracy of the genetic code in two manners: having more than one tRNA (with a specific anti-codon) for a particular amino acid; and 'wobble' base-pairing, i.e. permitting non-standard base-pairing at the 3rd anti-codon position. The record is from Rfam. Lineage: Eukaryota; Fungi; Basidiomycota; Agaricomycetes; Agaricales; Pleurotaceae.